CCCAAGGCUACACAAAGAAAGCUUGUCUCAAAAUCGGGGGGGGGGGGGCAAGAGUGUGAGUAGGAAAACAAACAAAAAAGAAAGAAAGAAAGAAAGAAAGAAAGAAAGAAAGAAAGAAAGAAAGAUUUCUUGAUCAUGAAAAAAACAAAGAAAAUUUGAUAGCUACAAUAUGAAAGCACAUAAAAGCUUUAAAUAAGGCACAGUCAAAUACUAUCCAAAGUACAGUAGGAAGAGAAAAUGGGGAGUAUAGGAGGAAAAAAGAGAAGAGGUGGAGGGGGAAGAGGGGAGAGGAGGAAGAAAGAAGAUGAAGUAUUAAAGCAACUUGGUCCUUAAAUGUUUGGGUCUCCCAGCAGUGGGCCACUGUCAGGGUCUGCUGAACUUGUAGAUUCUUGUCUUUCCUGUGGUGAACUCUGGUGUUGGUCCAAACAGGACCCAGUCUCUGCAAGGUAAAAGUUAUAUUGUUAUUUAGUUCACUGGGAAGUCAUGGGGCUGGAUUAUACCAACUACUCAUUGGAUUCAGCUUCCCCUUGGACUAUAUUUGGGGAAAGCUGCCUUACCGCUAACCUUGAGCUCAGGGGGAGAAGCCUAGAGGUCAUGGAGGUCAUUGGUCUCCAUAUUCUCUGUGUCAAAGAAUGUUAAAUGAAAAAAUUUAAAUAAAAUACAUUUCUUUUUAAAAUCACUUGUUUGUCAUCUUGAUGUGACUAAUUUAUUCUUAUAUGUUUAUAGAAUGUAUACAUUAUUCCUAUGUUCAGUAACUUUGUGAUAUUUUGGCACUUCACUUAAAUCAAGUGGACAUUAUUUUCCAAUGCUAGGCUCCAUUGCUGGGAUACAUAUCACCUCAUAGGUUAAAUACAAGAUGUCAGCAAUCUUUUUAAAUAAAAAGCCAGAUAAUAAAUACUUUAAAUACAAGUCAUACAGUUUCUAUUAAAACCACUCAUUGGUGCUUUUGUAAUACGAAAGUAACUAUAGAUUAUAUAAACGCAGGAAUAUAACUAUCCUAUUAAAGCAUUCCAUAUAAUUUUAAACAUAUCACAAAAUGUAUUUCUCUUUUGAAGUUUUCAACCAUAUGCAAAUGUAAAUGUUUGUAAGCCAUAGAAACACUGAAAGUAGCCAUAAUUAGUUGCUGGUAACAUAGUUUCCAGUUAAUAUUCCUGUGGACUUCCACAAACUUUAAACAUUUCCUGCCUGAUACUCCCAUACACUUUUCUGGGGAAGAAUGAACAUCAGGAUGUUACCAAUGCCAGAAAUCCAGUUUCUCAGGUAAUUUGGGAUAAUUUUGAGUUCACCUAAUUAUAUGUUCUAAUACCCUAGAUCAGGGCAGGAAAGUAAUAAUUAGUUUUCAUUUGAGUCAGUGGCUGGUUCAGUUAAUCUUAUGUAGAAAUAACACUGGACUUGUGAUGGAAGCCACUCACCCUCAGAGAAAAAUUGAAAGAAGUAAUUAGCAAUUUUACCUUGCCUGAAAAGUGAAAUAGCUAUAUAAGUAUUGGCUGUAAUAAGUUACCUGGACCUAGCUUUAUUCAAACCCAGUGAGACAUUCACAGAGGCUGGGCCGAGGCUGAUGCUAAGAAACAACGCUUGCUUGUACCCUUUAUUCAACCAACUCCAUGAGGAUAUUUCAAAAUCCACAAUUUGGGUUACACACAAGUUUUUCAGAUUUCUCUCUCAUUUAAAGUGGAGAACUGUAAAGUGAUACAAAAAUAUCUAUGAAAUGUCACCCGCCCACUCUCCACUGUGCAUACCGAAAAGCGCAAAUCAAAACCCACAGGACUGUUUAUCUGGCUUAUACUUCAAAAUGCUCAGCGGACCCUGGAAGGCCUUUAGCUGUCAUCAUCUGGAGCCUUUUCCCUGCUCAUCACAGAAGCCAUUUGGAAUACACGAAAGAGUUCAUUUCUAUAUUGACAUAUCUUUUCAUAGAAGAUUCCAGAAUGUUAAAAAUAAAUAAAUAAACCUUUUCAUCGGUUACUAAGUCUGACUUCCUUUUUCCUCCCUCUCUUUAUUCUUUCUUUAUUUCUCCUGAGUAGGAAGAGCAGGAAGAGGAAAGAAAGAAACCACCUACCUCUCUCUCCCUCUCCCUUCCCCUCUCCCCUCUCCCCCUCCCCUCCCCCUCUCUGUUGUUGUACCAUGGAUCAGAUCCAGGGCCUCAUGCAGACUACAACUGAGUUGUAUCCCAGGCCCUAACUCUGCCUACUUUCCCACCCUUUCCUAAACUCCAUGGCUGCCAUACUUAUAAAAUCGUUUGAGUAAGGAUUUCAGUAUCCAAUCAGGAAGUUCUUGCUUUACCUCUGAAAGCAGGUUUCCUUGAAGCCACUUGACACCCUGUGUUCUGACUGAGCGUGUCCCCCUGGGAAGCCUGUGCUUUCUCAUUGGGGGGAUAAACAUCUGUGCUUCCCUUCUCCAGCUUUUACAGGAGCUGUGGCCCGCACACUCCAGCCAUCUGUGAGCCUAGGAGAAUCAGUCUGAAUUCCAUUUGUUUCUAUCUGGCCAACGAGCCAGUAGGUGUGACUUGGUGGUUUUGGAGUCGAAUGUUGCCACAUAACUCAAGGCUUUUAUUAUUCUUGUGGAAAAAAAAAAACUCAAGCUUUACAAAUUCCUUCAAUGUCGCAAUUGAAAGCACUUCAAAUUGAACAUUUUGUAUCUGCCCGAUGGGUCUGACCCUUUAUUUCUGACUUAGCUAUCUCUAGAUUAUGCCAACAUAAAACUGACCCAGUCUCAAAUGAGAUACUAAUUUACCUUCUAGGGAAAAUUUUGAUUUUAAAAUUCCAGUUUUCCACUGCUUGUCACAAAGCGCUUUAUCUCACAGCAAGACUCACCCUUAUUAAUAUCCUUCCUGGCAAAGCGUUUUACAGAUGUGGAAAAUACCAUAAGCAAAUGUAGUGAUUUUCCUAACAGUUGUCAGGAAAGUGUGUAUUUUGUGAAUUGGAAGGUUUUAUUUAUAGUCUUUGAGUUACACCCCAUCUUGGAUUUUUAACAUCAUCUUAAACUAUUGAUGUUAAACAGAAUCUUAUGGCCAGCUCACAUCUGUCUAGACAUUAUAGAACAUUUCAAGAAGCAUAGCUGGAAAGAGCACAUUUUUUCCCUCCUGGAUUUUCAUAUUGAAUUUCCACUUUUUACCUUAAAGUGUAAAGUCGCCUCCUAGUGUAGUUCCCAUAAUUGGAAUUUGACAUUUUCCCAUCUUCUAUUUAAAAUGACAUUUCCAAGGGAUUUUGGACAGGCCCGUCAUGGUGUCAACUAUUCAACAGGAGCCAUAUUUUCACUUUCCAAAGGACUCCUCCAUGGGUUCCUAAAACAGGUUUUCAUAAAGUCCACUCACUUUAGAUCUAAGACUUAGCCCUUGGAAACAUAGCUGUUGGUAAAAACACCUAGAACUCGAUCUAUGCAACAAUGUUUCCUUUGAAUGACCUUUCUACACAUGUGUAUAGAAAUGUGUACAUCAUGUUCAUAUAUUUACAGUCUGUUACUGUGUUUUGUCCCCUUCAUUCACUAAUUCCCAUCCUACCUCAUCCUAACUAGUCUUCUUUUAUUUUCCUUCCCUCCCACCUUUCUCUCUCUCUCUCUCUCUCUCUCUCUCUCUCUCUCUCUCUCUCUCGUGUCUGUCUGUCUGUCUGUCUCUUUCUCAUCCAUGAGUUUCACUGGAGGGGUCUACAGGAACAUCAAUAAACAUUUGUUUACAAGAAUAUGGAAACUUGCCAGUGGCUAUGCCACUGAUGAAAAUAUCUCUCCCUCCCUCCCUUCCUCCCUGUGUUAGGGUUUUGUAAAGAAUCAGAACUGAUAAAAAAAAAAGCAGAUUUAUUAGAUUGGCUUAAAGAUGCUUAAAGUCUGGGCACUCCAGCAAUGGCUGUCCCACACUGGAAAGAUGGGGAAUCGGUUAGUUGCUCGGUCCAGGAAGAUUCCUGGGGAGAUUCUAGUCUUCAGUCCGUGUGGGAAUACUAAAGGAGUAGGUUCCAGUAUCAUUGAUACAGCAACAGGAUAGACAGAUGGACUUGCCGUGAAGAAUGAGAACAAGCAUGCAGAAAGAAAAGUUCCUUCUUCCGUGUCCUUUUAUCCAGGCUGCCACCAGAAAGUGCCACCCAGAUUCAAGGUGAUUCUUUUUGCUUCAAAUAAUCUAAUCAAAAAAAAUCCUUCACAGAAACAUCGAGCACCUUGUGUUUUAGUUGAUCCUGAAUGCUGUCAAGAUGACAAACAAGACUAUCCAUUAUCCUCCCCAAUCAACCACUAAUGAGCCCUGCUUCCACAAAAGCAUUCUUAUUGGCCCUACCUUGUGCAGGCCGGCACACUCAGGAAUUCCUUUGGUUCUCCUUUUAUCUGCUUGUUCGGUUGUCCUAUCUCUUCCUGCCUUACUGAGGACUUUGUCAUUCUGGUUUCUCUCCUACCUCCUCUGCUUGUGACCUACAUUUUGCACAGUGGCGUCUGGAGAUGGUAUCAUUUGUCCCAUGACUUCCAUAAGUACGUCUCCAGGUCUUGUUACCUACAAGUUCCAGAUCUACAGGGCUCUCUCUAAACCACCUGCUUCCCUAAGAUGCUGUGUUGGUUCUUUGGCUUUUUGGUCAGUGUGAUACAAGCUGGAGUCUUCUGAGAAGAGGGAACCUCGUCUGAGAAAUGCCUCCAUCAGACCGGCCUUGGGCAAGUCUGUGGGGCAUUUUCUUGAGUUAUUUUCAACCUGGGAGGGCCCAAUUCACUGUGGACAAUGCUACCUUUGGGCAGAUGGCCAUAAGUUGUAUAAAAAGGGUCAGGCUGAACAAGCAAGCCAUGGGGCUUGAACCAGAAAACAGUCCCUAUGCUUCCUGCUUCGGUUCCUGCCUCCAGGUUCCUGCUUUGAGUUCCUGUCCUGACUUCCCAUCACGAUGGACUGUAAGCUAUAAGAUGAUGCUAUAAGAUGAUGAAAUAAAUGCUCUCCUUCCUAA
Long non-coding RNA from Rattus norvegicus (Norway rat), 4901 nucleotides. RefSeq lists it as uncharacterized. The record is from RefSeq and is a predicted model, not a curated record. Lineage: Eukaryota; Metazoa; Chordata; Mammalia; Rodentia; Muridae.